This 445-nucleotide ribosomal RNA is filed under the name uncultured bacterium. Its description in RNAcentral is "partial 16S ribosomal RNA". It matches the Rfam family "Bacterial small subunit ribosomal RNA", at positions 354 to 796 of the family's 1533-position model. The record is from RNAcentral.
GUGAGGAAUAUUGGUCAAUGGGCGGAAGCCUGAACCAGCCAUCCCGCGUGGAGGAAGACGGCCCUAUGGGUUGUAAACUUCUUUUCAAGGGGAAGAAAGUUCGCGACGUGUCGCGAUUUGCCGGUACCUUUGGAAUAAGCAUCGGCUAACUCCGUGCCAGCAGCCGCGGUAAUACGGAGGAUGCGAGCGUUAUCCGGAUUUAUUGGGUUUAAAGGGUGCGUAGGCCGAUCGAUAAGUCAGCGGUGAAAUACCAUGGCCCAACCAUGGAACUGCCGUUGAUACUGUCGGUCUUGAAUAUGGUCAAGGUAGGCGGAAUGUGUAAUGUAGCGGUGAAAUGCUUAGAUAUUACACAGAACACCGAUUGCGAAGGCAGCUUACUGGUCCAUUAUUGACGCUGAGGCACGAAAGCGUGGGGAUCGAACAGGAUUAGAUACCCUGGUAGUCC